UUUUGAAUAAUUUAAGUAAAUAAAGAAUUGUAAAUUGUAAAUUUAUAUGUAGAAUUUUUAUAUUCUUUCAAAAA
RNAcentral lists this transfer RNA (74 nucleotides) under Diversibipalium multilineatum. Its description in RNAcentral is "tRNA-Tyr". Lineage: Eukaryota; Metazoa; Platyhelminthes; Tricladida; Geoplanidae. The record is from RNAcentral.